Dioscorea cayenensis subsp. rotundata (Guinea yam) is the source of this 697-nucleotide long non-coding RNA. RefSeq lists it as uncharacterized. NCBI's taxonomy places the organism in Eukaryota, Viridiplantae, Streptophyta, Magnoliopsida, Dioscoreales, Dioscoreaceae. The transcript has 3 exons. The record is from RefSeq and is a predicted model, not a curated record.
UUCUUUAAUUGUAACUGUAAGUUUUUCUUUGUCUUUCUCCUUUAAACUGCUCAUCUUUUCCCACCAAAGCCAUAUCUGACAGCCGUCUCCAACAACCAUGCCUCACCUCUACAACAACUACUCAGUCCUUCUUUGAUGCUAUGGCACCGGCCAUCCUUGUAACAAGGUGUUAGGGAUUUGGACUUUUGUAAGCAGUCCCCUUUCUCUCUUGCUUCUGGGUAGGAUUUUUGAAGGGAUUAGAGCUUUGAUAGAGGGUGGAGAGGAAGCUUGUGGAGAAGCUGGGCAACUGAACCUUAGAUAACCCUUUUCUCCUAGUUUUGGAGUGUAUAUGCAACCAUGUUGUUGCUUAGAGGCUUGAUGAUUGGAUAUUUCAAGAAGGGAUGAUCUUGUCUUUGAGUGUGAGUUAGAAUUUGAAGACAUCCAGAUCAGGAAUAGUUGUGAGUGGUAGCAGCUUAGCGCCUUGGGGCAAGCUGUCUUCUAUUGCUAGCAAGUUGAUAAAUUUCCCUUGCUUGGGGUUUUAGAUUUUCAUAUCUUUGAAUAAUUGUUGUGUCAGACCUUGUUAGUUGAUUUCAUUGUAUUUCGAACAUUGUGACUCUCCUUUGCAUUUGAAAGUUAGUGUCUCUAUUAAAUGUUGUUUUUGUAGUGUGAGACCGGUAUUGAGGCCUUGUGUGCCUACUUGGUUACGACCUUGUAUGUA